This 75-nucleotide transfer RNA is filed under the name Pilimelia terevasa. RNAcentral describes it as "tRNA-Leu". The record is from RNAcentral. Lineage: Bacteria; Bacillati; Actinomycetota; Actinomycetes; Micromonosporales; Micromonosporaceae.
GCCGCCGUGGUCGACGACGCCGGCACCGACCACGGCGAGACCGUGGCCGGCCGGUUCCACAUCGGCCGGCGGCAC